CCUACGGGUGGCAGCAGUGGGGGAUAUUGCACAAUGGGGGCAACCCUGAUGCAGCGACGCCGCGUGAGCGAUGGAGUACUUCGGUAUGGAAAGCUCUGUCAGCAGGGAAGAGAAUGACGGUACCUGACCAAGAAGCCCCGGAUAAAUUCGUGCCAGCAGCCGCGGCAAUACGUAUGGGGCAGGCGUUAUCCGGAUUUACUGGGUGUAAAGGGAGCGUAGGCGGGAGGGCAAGCCUGAUGUGAAAGCCCGGGGCUCAACCCCGGGACUGCAUUGGGAACCGGCCCGCUCGAGUGCCGGAGGGGCAAGCGGGAUUCCUAGGGUAGCGGUGAAAUGCGUAGAUAUUAGG
RNAcentral lists this ribosomal RNA (346 nucleotides) under uncultured bacterium. Its description in RNAcentral is "partial 16S ribosomal RNA". It matches the Rfam family "Bacterial small subunit ribosomal RNA", at positions 338 to 701 of the family's 1533-position model. The record is from RNAcentral.